Molecule: ribosomal RNA, 429 nt
Filed under: uncultured bacterium
Lineage: Bacteria
Description: bacterial SSU rRNA
Rfam family: Bacterial small subunit ribosomal RNA
Source: RNAcentral
UGGGGAAUAUUGCGCAAUGGGCGAAAGCCUGACGCAGCGACGCCGCGUGGAGGAUGAAGGUCUUAGGAUCGUAAACUUCUGUUAAGUGGGAAGAAAUGCCUGUUUCUAAUACAAGCAGGAGAUGACGGUACCAUUAGAGAAAGCACCGGCUAACUUCGUGCCAGCAGCCGCGGUAAUACGAAGGGUGCAAGCGUUAUUCGGAAUCAUUGGGCGUAAAGGGUGUGUAGACGGUAUGUUAAGUCUGUUGUUAAAUGCUCCAGCCUAACUGGAGACCUGCGGUGGAAACUAACAUGCUAGAGGGUGGAAGAGAGAAGUGGAAUUCUCGGAGUAGCGGUAAAAUGCGUAGAUCUCGAGAGGAACACCAAUGGCGAAGGCAGCUUCUUGGUCCAUACCUGACGUUGAAACACGAAAGCGUGGGGAGCAAACAGG